GCACAACUCUGAGCGGUGGAUCACUCGGCUCGUGUGUCGAUGAAGAGCGCAGCCAACUGUGUGAAUUAAUGCAAAUUGCAUACUGCUUUGAACAUCGACAUCUUGAACGCAUAUUGCGGCCAUGGGUUAGCCUGUGGCCACGCCUGUCCGAGGGUCGGCU
Molecule: ribosomal RNA, 160 nt
Filed under: Fasciolopsis buskii
Lineage: Eukaryota; Metazoa; Platyhelminthes; Trematoda; Plagiorchiida; Fasciolidae
Description: Fasciolopsis buski 5.8S ribosomal RNA
Rfam family: 5.8S ribosomal RNA
About the family: 5.8S ribosomal RNA (5.8S rRNA) is a component of the large subunit of the eukaryotic ribosome. It is transcribed by RNA polymerase I as part of the 45S precursor that also contains 18S and 28S rRNA.
Source: RNAcentral